GCGUUGGUUUAGCUCAGUGGUUACUUCCGAUUGACUCGAAGAUCACCAUCUCAUGGCUGUCGGGAAACCGGCGACCGGAGAUCGAACCACGGGCGCUGUCCAGCGUUUUU
Vault RNA from Carassius auratus (goldfish), 110 nucleotides. Its record names the gene Vault. It matches the Rfam family "Vault RNA". Rfam says of the family: This family of RNAs are found as part of the enigmatic vault ribonucleoprotein complex. The record is from Ensembl. Lineage: Eukaryota; Metazoa; Chordata; Actinopteri; Cypriniformes; Cyprinidae.